UACGUAGGGUGCAAGCGUUUAAUUACGGGAAUUACUGGGCGUUAAAGACGUGCGCGAGGCGGAUUUUGUAACGGUCACGCAUGUGAAAUCCCCGGGCUUAACCUGGGAACUGCGUUUGAAACUACAAGGGCUAAGAGUGUGGCAGAGGGGGGUGGAAUUCCGACGUGUAGCAGUGAAAUGCGUAGAGAUGUGGAGGAACACCGAUGGCGAAGGCAGCCCCUGGGUUAACGAC
This 232-nucleotide ribosomal RNA is filed under the name uncultured bacterium. RNAcentral's name for it is "partial 16S ribosomal RNA". It matches the Rfam family "Bacterial small subunit ribosomal RNA", at positions 524 to 740 of the family's 1533-position model. The record is from RNAcentral.